CCUACGGGGAGCAGCAGUGAGGAAUAUUGGUCAAUGGCCGAGAGCCUGAACCAGCCAAGUCGCGUGAGGGAAGACGGCCCUACGGGUUGUAAACCUCUUUUGUCGGGGAACAAAACCAGUCACGUGUGACGCAUUGAGAGUACCCGAAGAAAAAGCAUCGGCUAACUCCGUGCCAGCAGCCGCGGUAAUACGGAGGAUGCGAGCGUUAUCCGGAUUUAUUGGGUUUAAAGGGUGCGUAGGCGGAGGUGCAAGUCAGCGGUAAAAUUGCGGGGCUCAACCCCGUAGCGCCGUUGAAACUGGAUGACUUGAGUGCGCAAGAAGUACGCGGAAUGCGUGGUGUAGCGGUGAAAUGCAUAGAUAUCACGCAGAACUCCGAUUGCGAAGGCAGCAUACCGGCGCGAGACUGACGCUGAUGCACGAAAGCGUGGGUAUCGAACAGGAUUAGAUACCCCGGUAGUC
Molecule: ribosomal RNA, 459 nt
Filed under: uncultured bacterium
Lineage: Bacteria
Description: partial 16S ribosomal RNA
Rfam family: Bacterial small subunit ribosomal RNA
Source: RNAcentral